GGGCCUGUAGCUCAAUGGUUAGAGCCGGCCGCUCAUAACGGUCUGGUUGGGGGUUCGAGUCCCUCCAGGCCCACCA
RNAcentral lists this transfer RNA (76 nucleotides) under Hyphomonadaceae bacterium. Its description in RNAcentral is "tRNA-Met". It matches the Rfam family "tRNA". From Rfam's summary of the family: Transfer RNA (tRNA) molecules are approximately 80 nucleotides in length. Their secondary structure includes four short double-helical elements and three loops (D, anti-codon, and T loops). Further hydrogen bonds mediate the characteristic L-shaped molecular structure. tRNAs have two regions of fundamental functional importance: the anti-codon, which is responsible for specific mRNA codon recognition, and the 3' end, to which the tRNAs corresponding amino acid is attached (by aminoacyl-tRNA synthetases). tRNAs cope with the degeneracy of the genetic code in two manners: having more than one tRNA (with a specific anti-codon) for a particular amino acid; and 'wobble' base-pairing, i.e. permitting non-standard base-pairing at the 3rd anti-codon position. The record is from RNAcentral. Lineage: Bacteria; Pseudomonadati; Pseudomonadota; Alphaproteobacteria; Hyphomonadales; Hyphomonadaceae.